CCUCCAGGACACCACGGUCAUCUUCACUGUUGAUCUGAAAGAAAACAGACAAAUGAGAUGUCUCAAAAUUACAACUUUAUUCUGUCAGGUCAUUGAAAAUUGCAAGUCAGCACUGUCUGAGAAAAUGGACGUCAUCAGCUUUCAUCUGCUACCUCAGUCUCAAGGGCUCAUCACACAAGGAGGUCACCAUUCAAAUUAAACAAGAGACUGACCCGUCACUGCGAUGAUGGUUUCUAUUCACUGUGACGUAAAGGAAGGUCCAGUGUAUCCUAUGCUGAAGGAUCCAUGGCUCAGGCAACAGGGGACUGUUUCUGCUGCUGGUUGUCAGUGGCCUCCAUGAUUCUUGAAUCGAAGAAGUUUGGGUCAACCGCGACUCUUCCUAGAGCUAGUUGCCAAACUGAGCAAGGAGUCACUCUGAUUGAGCUUCAGAGAUCCUAGUGUGGAGACUGGAGAAACUUUCAGAAGGACAAGCAUCACUUCAGCACUUUGCAGAGCAGGCAGAAGCUCUCCUUCAGAGGGAAUCUGAGAUUGUAAGAUUCACUGGUGUGAUGAAACCAAGAUUUAACUGUUUUGCUUCAGUUCUAGGUGUUUUCACUGGCAGGAACAGGGAUACUGGUCAGAGACAUUCUUAAUGAAUACCUGGUCCAGAGAGCUCAGAACUGAAGACUGGGCUGAAGGUUCAUCCUCCAACAGGACAAUGACCCUACACACUCAGCCAAGGUUGUGAUUGACCGUGCCAUCUAAGAACUGAACCCAGUUCAGCUCUGAUUCCCCACACACAUGUCUGGACCUGUGGGAGGAGAGGAGGGGAGUGUAGUGGAAAACAAAAAUAAAUACGAUUAAAGAAAACAGAGAUUUAAAGAAAAAGGAAGUGAACAGGCUGACAGGGAUCAGUUUUCAUCUUAUCUGAUAAAACAUACUGAUGAGAUGAAGUGACAGGAUGAUCAGAUCUACAGACACACCACCCACAUGUUUCUCAAUCCUCCUCUGACACAUCCAACAACUUUCCUUGAGGAUAUUGGCCUUUUCUCAUCUUUACAAUUGAUUCCCAGAUAAAUGUUACUGAUGCGCUGAUGCAUGUCAAGGUUUUGAGACUCGAGAGAAUAAUCAUUAUGUUUGUACUAGUGCAGCGCCCUUUCAAAUUGUGCCUUUCGGCAGGGACUGAUUGCUUUGCCUGUGUUAAUCCAGCAUGUAACUUUCCUAAGAGCAUCAUUCAAACAUUUUUACAGUUGACAGUGCUCUUCCUUUGGUCCUGACCAAUACACCUACAAAGUUUCAAGUUGAUGGGAUGAGCAGUUGUUGAGAAAAUCGAAAUACAGACGGAGACUCCUCCAUUUAUAGUUAGAUGAGUUUUGGUGCAUACUGUUAGUGAAUCAGUCUUACCUGAUAAUCUCCAGAACUUUCUUUAACAGUGGUGCCAAUUUAGACCCCUGUAGAGAGAAACAAACAUUUAUUCAUAUGUAACUAUUUAUUUACAUAUUUUUAGAAUAUUUAUACAUUUACAUGUUUGGAAAAAUUAUAUGUAUGGCAGCUAAUGCAGACAGGGGGUUGAGAAAGCAUAAAUGUAAUUUAUGUGCAACAACACAGUUCUGUGGUGGUGGUUGUGAGAAGCUAAAACAGCAGCAGUUAAUAUCUGAGCCAGUUGGGCCAGAUUUCUGCAGUGGCCUUGAUUAGGACACAGAGAAAACACACAGAGUUUCUGCUAAUAUUACAUUGAGAGAGAAAAAAAGGCUUGGACCUUUUUAUGAUAUUGUGUGUAUGUUUCAAACUUUGUAAUGACCUCUAUGCUGCCUUGCCUUGUUGCAAAAACAAUUUUGUUAUGUGUGACAAUGACAAUUUCAACUAACGUGAAAGACCUUUGUGUAAGUAUGACUCCCCUUCUCUCAGGAGUACACUCAGACUAACACAGGCCUGAGAACAGUGUGACAUAUUGAUGAGUUAUCAAGAUGUAACUUGCACAUCAAUUCUGGACUCUUGCUUUUGAGAUACGAUUGCUGGUACUGUCACUCUCAUCUCUGCUGCAUUUCUCUCUUUUCAACCCAACCAGUCAAGAUUGACAGCCGCCCACCCUGAGUCCGGUUCUGUCACAGGUUUCUUCUUGUUAAAGGGGCUAUUUUCCUUGGUGAUGUCUGCCAGGUCGUCGAGUUGAGACAGGCUCUGAGGUGUGGUUACGUCACCGUUUGCUUUGGCGGCUGACGUCAGCUUCCUCAUGUACACCGCUGACGCCUUCAUCAACCUCUGGCAUGGACCAAUCAUACAUUGGCCAUUGUCCAACCAGUAUGUGUCCAGGACGUCGCUGAAUGGAUCCUGAACUUCAGAUCAGGCCUGGGUGAGGACCGAGAACGGGACCAGGACAGGGAUGGACAGCUCUGGAGGAGACAGAGGAAGAGAGGGAGAUUUUAAAUCG
Long non-coding RNA from Lates calcarifer (barramundi perch), 2407 nucleotides. RefSeq lists it as uncharacterized. The record is from RefSeq and is a predicted model, not a curated record. The transcript is spliced from 7 exons. Lineage: Eukaryota; Metazoa; Chordata; Actinopteri; Centropomidae.